Long non-coding RNA from Papaver somniferum (opium poppy), 405 nucleotides. RefSeq lists it as uncharacterized. The record is from RefSeq and is a predicted model, not a curated record. NCBI's taxonomy places the organism in Eukaryota, Viridiplantae, Streptophyta, Magnoliopsida, Ranunculales, Papaveraceae. The transcript is spliced from 3 exons.
UUGAGUCGAUUCUGAGGAAAAGGAAAAGUUUUUAAAUUGAGCAAUGGAGAUAGACAAUGACUCUGGCAGAACUCACUUAUGAGAACGAUGACGUAUGGGUUUCUGAUGGUGAAUUGAUUCAUUGAUUGUAUAAAGUUUGAUUUCGAUGAUGUUUGUAUAGUGUUUGCAGUGAUAGAUGUUGCGGUGGGCUCUGUGUCGCAAGCUAAUUUCUAGGCGUGUCACUAACUCGACUGCACACAACUACAAAAAAUUUACCACCUAAUUGUACAAUGGAUGGAGUAUAACUAAAUCAAACGGCCUAAGCUAUCAAGGUUACAUAAAUUCAAGCAUCCUAAAGAAUCAGAGGAUUUGGAGUUUAUCUUGAUCGAGUGGAGUUUCAUGAUGCGUAGAAGAAGACAUUGGUGA